AACUGAAUUGAAUGGGAUUGUGGACUCUGGUUUUCCAACUGUAAUAAAGUGGAAAAGGAUUUACGUCCUGAAUAGUGUUACGUAUAGUACAAAAGAUUGGUAAUCAUUCAAAAAAUGUGAAAAGAAACGAACUUUGUCAUUUUGUGAGAAAUUGUUGAAUAAUACAUGUGAGUCUCAUGGAAAUCCUGUUUACACCCAUGGCAACUUCCCAGCAUCAACAGCGAGAGACCAGAAUUCGCCAACCCCCCAGCACAGGCCUACCACCGAAGUCUAUUCGGUGAGUGCGAGCGGAUAUCUAGUGUUGCGGCCAGGCCAGGGCAGCAAAAAAGCACCGCAUGCUUGGCGCGCGGAGUAACUCUUCAACUGCUUAUAGUAAAGCACCUCGCCUCGUGUGUGAGACUUGUGCGCGCGCGAGAGACUCUCGGAAUAGUUGUUGCGAGCUCUAAGGCUAUACCAAACCCCUUCAGGUAUAUUUGGUUUUGUACGUUACAGAUGGUUGUCAUUUAAACGUUGGUUGUUGCAGGGACUGUAGUCGCGAUUUGUGUCCGUUCUGGAUUUUGUUCUACGAGUCCGGUCGUAUAAAUAUAGAAUUUCGGUCGUUUUGGUUUACUGCGGUGAAAAGUUUUCUUGGCGACACUAAUUACACCGGGUGGUUGUAAUUUUGUGUGAAAAUUGUGUGCGAUUCUCGGUUCAGUUGUCUUUCAAGUUUUGCGGAUAAUUUGUUCGAGGUCUCCUGGCCGGUUAAUGUGAUUUUGUGAUCAUCCUCCACCAGCGCAUGAGAAGAAAAAUCGGCGCAAUCUUAGAGCCAGUGUCCCCGUUAACGAACACCGCAAAGAGUCCGCUUUAGGAACGCCCGCGAGGAAAAGUGAAAAGAAACGCAUCACCUAGAGCCGAGACGACGUGACAAACCAAUCCAAGGGAGCAAAACGUGGAUAAAUCGUGGAGUUAUUCAGUGCUGUGAGUGGCUUAGGUGCUUGAGAAAGAAAAAAAAGUGCAACAGCGGAAAAAAAUACUUUUCACGCUUGAUUGGGGCUGGAGAUCGUAGGCUUCGUGCCAAGUGUGCUGUUUUACAAGGUCCCAUCGGAUUCAGCAGGAGAGA
Aedes aegypti (yellow fever mosquito) is the source of this 1099-nucleotide long non-coding RNA. RefSeq lists it as uncharacterized. The record is from RefSeq and is a predicted model, not a curated record. NCBI's taxonomy places the organism in Eukaryota, Metazoa, Arthropoda, Insecta, Diptera, Culicidae. The transcript has 2 exons.